RNAcentral lists this ribosomal RNA (495 nucleotides) under uncultured bacterium. RNAcentral describes it as "partial 16S ribosomal RNA". It matches the Rfam family "Bacterial small subunit ribosomal RNA", at positions 28 to 507 of the family's 1533-position model. The record is from RNAcentral.
GACGAACGCUGGCGGCGUGCCUAAUACAUGCAAGUAGAACGCUGAAGGAGGAGCUUGUUCUUCUGGAUGAGUUGCGAACGGGUGAGUAACGCGUAGGUAACCUGCCUGGCAGCGGGGGAUAACUAUUGGAAACGAUAGCUAAUAUCGCAUAACAGUAGAUGUUGCAUGACAUUCACUUAAAAGGUGCAAUUGCAUCACUACUAGAUGGACCUGCGUUGUAUUAGCUAGUUGGUGGUGUAACGGCUCACUAAGGCGACGAUACAUAGCCGACCUGAGAGGGGGAUCGGCCACACUGGGACUGGGACACGGCCCAGCAUCCUACGGGAGGCAGCAGUAGGGAAUCUUCGGCGAUGGACGGAAGUCUGACCGAGCAACGCCGCGUGAGUGAAGAAGGGUUUCGGGUCGUAAAGCUCUGUUGUAAGAGAAGAACGAGUGUGAGUGUGGAAAGUUCACACUGUGACGGUAUCUUAACAGAAAGGGACGGCUAACUACGUG